GCCUACUGGUUUUCUAAAGGUAGAUCAGAGUCUCUCUGUUUCGGUCUCCCUUUUUGACCCAGGUUUUGUUUUAUUGAUAGCUCAUAUGCAGAUGAAGCUUAAAGGACCUAAUUUUGCCAUAUCUUCAGAUUUCAGUUCUGUGAGCCAGCAGAAGAGCCUCCCUGUGCCAAAAGUGCUGCUCUUCCUUGCUUAGGUUUAGGGGUCAGUGAAGCACUUUUUUUCAUUUACUUUCUAUCUGCAGUGAGGGAAGCUGUGUCACAUUUUAUCACCUCUUUGAGGAACCUGACUGCUGCAGUAGUCAAGACCAGGAGCUUAGGCAGGGAGCACUUACCCUUCAACUCUUCCACAAGGCACCUGUUUCUUCAUACCUCUACACCUGUUUUUCUCUUGCUACUGUAACAAUCAGGAGCAGAAAGUGUGUGCAAAGAAUAGCUCUGCUGUAUGUUUUCUGAUCUUUAGUUUCCCCUGUGUCUCCCAUCCACUCCUGUGGUACUGGAACCUAGGUGCACUGUUCUGAAAUUGCUGUAAUGCAUGCAAAACAACUUGAUGCAUGUGCUGUCUAAAAGGAAGACAAACACUGGUUCUGCAUCCUGCUCACACACAGAGCUCUUGGUCAGAAGUUGUGCCUUUUGGUUUUUACUGAUCUCAAUCCUUCUGUCAGAUUCUUCUCUGCUCAGCAGAAGAAAAUAUGAUUGUGUAUGCUGUUCCUCACCUGCUGUCCAGGUGUUCCACCUUCCCCAAUCCUCUGCUGUCCCUCUCGCCACUGCAUCUUUGCUGCACCAUGUUCUUCUCUGUUCACACUCCCAUUAUCAGUGCUUGGCCUUUCCUUUUACUCAUCCUCAAGCACCAUUAAUGCUUCUCCUUGGCUUCCUAGUUGUCUAUUUCCCUUGCCAUUUGGCUUAAUGUCUUUGACUUUGCACUUGGUGUCCUUCCCUAUCACACAUCCCUUCCUGUCCCUGCAGCUAGAGUAGGCUGUCACCAUUUGUUCUCUUUCCCUGUAAAUCAUUCUUGCUUUCUUCCUUCCCUCCCUCCCACCUUAAAUUAUCUCAUAGCAUCUGUGCUACCUUUGCUGAGGCCAGGUCUUCACCUAGACACUAGGCCCUUUUUUUUUUUUCCAGGGCUGAGUGAAGAUUGAGCUGCCUCUGUCCAGACCAUGUCUAACCUUGUCCUGUUAAGAACUGUCUUUGGAAACAAAUUGUUGGUGCGGGGAACAGCAGCUGUCCAAUUGUAUCUGCAUUCUGGUUCCAGUUCACACUUUUUGCCUGCCCUCUGCAACCCUGUCUCUGGCCUCCUCUGAACCAGGCUUGCACUGGGGCUCUUUAAGUAUCUUGAGCCUAGUUUGCCUUUCCAGCCACAUCCACAUCUGUUUCCAAGCUCUGUUGUGCAGCGAGGGGUGGGUAAUAGGUGCUGAGCAUUUUAGGUAAGGCAGUGCAGGAUGUUUGGAGGUCUCUAAUCCAACCCCUGCUCACAAGAGGCCUGACUUGAAUGGUAGAUCUUAGCUGAGGACCUUAUAAAUGAUAGUGCUCUGCAAUUGUUGUACUUAAUGUACUUUCCCUUCUUGUACUUUCCCCAGGAUACAGAAUAGUGGCAGGGCCUAUCACCAGUAAAAGUAUGUGAUGGAUCCCAGCAGGCCCUUCUUUGUUCUUUACCAAAUCCAUGGGCGUUACAGGACACAAACUAGAUCUUUCAUCAGGCCCUAAGCAUGUGGUCAAAGGGGAUGGUUCAGUACAUAUUCUUCCACUCAUGGUUCUUGCUAUGUUUCUGCUAUAUUUAUUCCUUCAGUGUUAUAUUUAUUUGCUGUUUAAGGCCCCAAGAAGUCUUAGAAUCUCUUGUCUCUUGGUGUUGGCCUUACUCAACACCCGGCUGGGAGAUACCAGCAAAUGAAAAUUUGUGCUUUGAGAUUCUUAUACCUGUAGCCACAGUGUUCCUCAUUAGCUUCCAUACUCGUCAGUGAAGUGGGUGUGCUGCCACUGUAUACUCUACCACUGCAGUUUCCUCAUCUUGAGCUGUUGAGCUUCAUUAUGAUCCUGGAUUUUCUUGAGUUACAACUCCCUGAUCUCUUGUUUUGGGUCCCAGGCUCCUUCCUCUUUUGCCUGUGUGAGCUGAAGUCUUUCUAGUCUGGCAGGGGCUUCAGACCAGUCCUUCUCUAGAGGAGUGCUCUGGGGGUAGUGACCUGAAGCGGAUAUUCAUGGGAAGAGUGUAAGGGCAAGCAUAUAGUGAGUACUCUUGUAUUCUCUAGGAAUCUGCUGCUUUAAAGGCUGCCUGACCCAGAAGUUGCAUCAGUAUGCUUGUUUAAUAGCCUUUGGUAAAUUUGGUCUUUACGAUUUUUAAACCAGGUGGUGCAUUUGGCCUCUAAAAUGUCUUGUGGACACACAGAAGAAUUGCGUUUAGAUAUCUAAAGUGUUGUCUUUUAAGCCUGGUACAUCUUCUUUUGUGAUCUCCUACUUCUGGUACUGUAGGACAUAGCAAAUAAUAUGCUUCUCAUAUGGUCCGUGCCUCCCCAGGGGGAGCCCUUUCCCUACUUCUGUACCCCAUGCUUCUGUAUCUCUUCUACUUUUACUGUAUUAUUGCCCAUAUUUCCUUCAUGCCCUAGCCUGCCUCUUUUUCCUCCUCGUUAGUUGGUCCUUGAAUCUCAGAAAUCUUUUGGCAGGCCAGUCUGCUACUGAGGAAGGACUGAAAGCAUCACAGCAGCUCUUCCACCUGCAGCGGCAAAGAAGAAACAGAAACAGGCCUGCAAGACAGACCACUUUGUCAGAGCAGACUCUGGCAACUUCUCCAUAGGGUAGUUCCUUUCUGCGUAGGCAUGUUUCCUUCCUCUCACAAAAGAUGAGAAACCUUUUGAUGGUCACCAUUAUACUUAGUAUGACAAAGCAUUGUCUGGUAUUUUCUGAUGCUUUUGGAUGCCUGAUGUGAAACCUUAAAACUCUGUAACUGUCUAUGACUUUAGGAAGAGUUGUAGGGUAUAGAGAUCCUCUGAAAAUCAGUGCUGGAUGGGUAGGGUUUCUUGAAACUUUUCCAAUUUCUCUGUUGCAUUUCUUGGGCAGAAGGUGACACCUAGUGUUGAGUCGAGGGCAGGUCAGUCUGUCACACUCUUAAUUGGACCAGGCAACUAAACGGUUUAGGAGCACAACCUGCUAAUAAAACAUGAGAGGAACAAAAUGCUGGAUGCAUUUUUCUGAACGUGUGACACUUGUGAGCUGGAGAGGUUUUCCCAGCCAAAUGUGGUGCUGUGAAGCCAGGACCUUUUGAGGAUCCUUGACUUUUUUUUUUGUUUGGUUGGGGGUUUUUUUGUUUGGUUUUGGGGUUUUUUUCUUCCCCUGGUAGUAAGCGCCUAAUUAGACUGGGCCUUUGUGUUUGUGGAGUCCAGCUUAGCAACCAUGCCAUGGAAACCCAUUUGCACACUUGUUAAACACGGGGACAGAAAGCAACCCAGUUGAGUUUCUGACAUUUUGAACUAAAACAAUUAUUAAUGGAUAGUCUGUUGCCUUUUCCUUUGUCUGGGAAGGGGAGACUUUGGGAAGGAAAUAAUAGUUAGAAAAGCUCUUCCCUUUCCUUUCUGGCUUCUGUGUCUUGUCAAGUGAGACUUAGAAGGUUUUUGUCAGUCUGUAUUUGCUAUGCCUCUCUUUCCAGCACAUCUUUUGUGGGCCUCCCUCCCAGUGCUGUGAGUGGAUAUGCAGCACUCAUCCACUAGGAUGCCAUCAUCCCACUUCUAGUCUUUGCUGAAAAUGUAGUGUUGUUCAGUCCACUUCAUUGAGCACUUGCAAUUGGGGAGUGGCAAACAAAGAGGGAAAAGAAGGGGAGUUUGUGUGAGAUACAGGAGGCAUUUUUUUUUCCCCUCAAGGUUUUGGCAGUGAUUGCAUUAAUUGGUGGGUGGGCUGUUCAUAGCUUGGGCUUCUGUGGUCUAGUUGCAUGUUCCUGUGUUGCAUUUUUGGGGGCUGUUUUAUUUGAGAAAUGGAAGUCUUAGAGCCAAAAGUGAGAAAGAGACUCUUUGUGAUGAAGAAUUACUUUACCAGUCCUAACACCUACUAAAAGAGUAGAAAUUAAAAAACAAAACCAAAACAAAACACAAAAACCCCUCCAGAACAAAGAAAUCAGUGUCCUGCUGCCUUGAGGUCAAAACUACUAGACAAAAUAGCAAUCAGAAACUGGGGAGGUGCAGUUCAUGUGAUGUUUGUUACUUUAAAAUAAGGGGUUUAAAAAAAAUAAGGAAUAAAAAGAUGAGUAAUUACUGAGAUACAAACUAAGGUAUCCACUGUGGUGGAGAGGGUGGGAACACAAGAAGAUAUGCAGGGGGAUGGAGUUUGUUAAUUUGAUUUUUCUACUAUUUUAAGUUUUCUACCAUUGUGAAGUGGGUGCAUACGUGACAUCCACAGCUUUAAGUGAAACUGUUUUAUCGCCCUGCAAUCUAGUGGAAAAUAUACUCCAACAGCGCAAUGAUGAUGAAGCCAACCACAGAGGAAAUAAAAGUAAAUAAAUACAUAAGACUCUUGAUGUAUUUGGAAAUGAUUCUAUGGGAGAACAAUAACAAAAAAAAUCCCUCACUUUUAAGUCUCAAAAAAAAAAGAAAACCAGUUUUAUGAAAAAGAUAAAAAUAUUUUAUUCUGAUUGGGAGCAAAAAUUACUAAGUCUUAAUUUGUUCAAAUGUUUUUUGCAUAAUGUAUUUCUGCACAUUUUUCAGAGACUCUCACACUGUCUUUUUCAGAUCUUGAGAUACUGCUCUAUCAGUAGGAACCCGGUGUGGGAAACAUAAUUUCCUGUAAGAAAAAACAGAACACAAAACUGAAACACAAAAAACCGCACCCCCAAGCCAUAAAUAUUACCAAUCUCAAACUCCUAGCCUUGCCCUGUGGUAUUCUGCUUUGUUCAGUGGCUUACUUCCUUGUGCGUAUGCUUUCCAUAUACGUGAGAUGAGCAACACUGAAAUCCAUUUAGUUUUCAAUCCCAGUAACACUAGUAAAGGUGGUCAUUAGAGCCAGGAGCUCAUUUCUUUCUGUGAGCUUAGGAAUGUUUAUACAGAGACCCCAAGCAGGGGUCCCUGAAGUAUCCUACAGCGGGGUUCAUUGUAACAGUGACUCUGAAAGAAGCUUUGCUGGUCAAAGGUUGACAUUUGAGGUCAUUAUAUUUAAUGACAGCCUAGAGCAGUAGCUGCUCUGUAGCUGUAAGCACAGCUAUGUAUUUCUUUCUUGGGAGUUCUGGUGUAUGAAAAACUGGCUUGUAGCUUCUAUCUCCUUGGUUUGCCUCAGAGGACUGCUCACAGUGCCUGGCCAGUCUGCCCAUACCCAAGGUAUAUUUAAGACCUACUGCUACCAAGCUUGUGGGUAAUUGAUUUUCUUGCUCCAAUAACUACUAAAUCUCAUCGGAGUCCUUGUUACGAGCUUUCUCACAUCUGGUGGUAAGGGAGGGAAUGCUUUCCUCUGAGGGUGGAUCAGCACCUGGAAAGGCUUGGAGAUGUUCAGGAGUCACCUGGGCAAAGGGCUGAGCAGCCCCAGGUAGGUUUAGAUUCAGCCCAGCUAUGAGGAGGGGAGUUGUACUCAAGACCUCCAGAGGUCCCUUCCCACCUAUAUCUUUCUGUGAAGCUAAACAGCUAAUCAUUUGCUUUCACUGGCAGGGCAGCUUGUUCAUUCUUUUACACUGUUAUCAUUCAUCAGACUGUUGCUUGAUUUCAAAAUUCAGACACGGCUAAGGCAAAAUAAGCCUUUAAAAGGAGGUCUCUUCUUUUUACUGCUGUGGGUAUUUGGAGGAUGUAGAUUGCUCUUGAACUAAUGAAGAUUCCAUUGUUUCCUCCCACUGUAGUACAGCAUGCCAGCCAAUUAAUGUGUCUGAAAAUAUAUUACAGAGUAAACCUGCAAUAUGAAAACAAGCAAAAAUACUGCCACUGUAGCUCUGCCAGAGCCUCCUUGCCCAGCUUUACCAGCUCUGCAUCCCUGAGGCUGCUCAAAUGGCUAUUUAGGUGAGAAGGGGUAAAGUGAAUUUAAAAAAAACUACUUGAAGGCCACCUCUGUCACCUGAAUAUCUCACACAGAAACCCUGUAGAAAACUGACGUUGUGUAUUAUAUGUGCUUCCCAGGUAAGCAAAAACGUAAACUGCAGCAAGCAAAAAAAUUCUACAGCCCACGCAUUACAAAAUACUUCGAUAUGUUUUUAUUACUGUGAUUAAGCUGGCUUCUGGAGAAGAAAGACAAAUAAGAAUCAAAGCUCUAACAUUUAUCAAGAUGCUCGCUCGUCAAUGGACUUUUGAACCAGAGCAACAAGAUGACUGGUUGUAGGAAGAUUAAAACCAAAAUGAAGUAGUUAGUGAUUUUUGACCCCUGAGGGUAAUAUUGGCCAUUUCUCAGUUCUGUUAACUGGGGUGUUUCACAAGACUUCUGUGCAAGCUAUAAAUAUAGGCAAUUGAGCUGCCUCUCACACACAGCAGCACUGGACUGAAGGAAGUGCCAUCAACUCUCCCCAUCCAAGAAGCUAAUAUCAAGGUUGUCACCCAGCUCCUACAGCAAGAAAUCCGAACUACAGAAGUCCUACUGAGAUGGGAAAAAUAAUUGUUUAUGAGCAUGCCAACUUCCAGGGUUACUCCAAAGAAUUCACUGGUGACAUUGCCAAUCUAAAAGAUGUAGAUUGGAAUGAUUGUGUCUCCUCAGUAAAAGUAAUUGGCCAGCCUUGGGUGGCUUAUGAGCACCACAACUACACAGGCCAGUUACUGGUAUUUGAGGAGGGAGAACAUGGCUUUGUUGGUCAGCAGAUGAAUGAUAAGAUCACUUCUCUGAAGGUCAUCACUGAAAAUCUGCACAAUCCCCAAAUCACUCUCUAUGAACACGCCCAUUAUCAAGGGAAGAGCAGGGUGAUAAAAGAACCAACCAAUCUGGGUAGGGGACAUGACAAUGACACCAUAUCUUCUCACAAAGUCCAGAGAGGUGCCUGGCUGUUGUGUGAACACAGUGAUGGCAGUGGUUUUUGUUACAUUGCGCGAGAACAUGAACACCUUCCAGAUUACAAUGCAAUCAAUUUCAAUGACAAGCUUUCAUUUCUGCGUCCCCUUCUUCCUGGUAGGGAUUGUGGUUGUUAGACUGCAAAUCCUGCAAUCCUGAGGGAACGUUGCACCUGCAGCUAGCAUUCCAAUGUCCUGUACUAUGUAAUGUAAAAAAGCAUUGCAUGUUGCUUCUGCUGCUAGAUGCAUAAACAAAAUGUGAGCAUAUAACCAGCAUCACUCACUUUGUAAUUUGUUUUACAACACUCCUGCUUUACCAUGGCCUCUGCCAUUUUGUGUAUUUCAUUUAGUGUUAUUGCCAUUAAAGAAGCUAUUGAAAGCAACAA
Molecule: non-coding RNA, 7308 nt
Organism: Phalacrocorax carbo (great cormorant)
Lineage: Eukaryota; Metazoa; Chordata; Aves; Suliformes; Phalacrocoracidae
Source: RefSeq, a predicted model, not a curated record